This 425-nucleotide ribosomal RNA is filed under the name uncultured bacterium. RNAcentral's name for it is "partial 16S ribosomal RNA". It matches the Rfam family "Bacterial small subunit ribosomal RNA", at positions 354 to 796 of the family's 1533-position model. The record is from RNAcentral.
GUGGGGAAUAUUGGACAAUGGGCGCAAGCCUGAUCCAGCCAUGCCGCGUGAACGAUGAAGGCCUUCGGGUUGUAAAGUUCUUUAGCCGAUGAUUAUAAUGACUGUAGUCGGAAAAUAAGCCCCGGCUAACUUCGUGCCAGCAGCCGCGGUAAUACGAAGGGGGCGAGCGUUAUUCGGAAUCACUGGGCGUAAAGCGUGCGUAGGCGGUUUUGUAAGUUAGGAGUGAAAGCCCAGGGCUCAACCUUGGAAUUGCUCUUAAAACUGCAAGGCUCGAAUCUCGGAGAGGAUAGCGGAAUUGUCAGUGUAGCAGUGAAAUGCGUAGAUAUUGACAGGAACACCAGUGGCGUAAGCGGCUAUCUGGACCGAUAUUGACGCUGAGGCACGAAAGCGUGGGGAUCAAACAGGAUUAGAAACCCGUGUAGUCC